GCUCCUGCGAGAAAGCCGCCGGCCGAUCUUUGUUCGUGCGAGACAAGCAAGCCCCCGAACUUGAUCCUGGCUUUGUGCGGGCGCAGAAGCUCGUUAGUGCCAGGCGUGGGCAGGCGUGGGCAGGCGGGGAGGGCGUCUCGCGCGGGGGUGCGUUUUCCCAGGGCUGUGAGGGGAAGCGCGCAGCGCCCGAGUCGUUGGCACGUUUCUUGCAUAGCCAGGUUGGGUUUCUUCAGGCUUUUUUUUUUUUUUUUUUUAAACUGUUGGUUUGGUUUGUUUUGUUUUGUUUAAAUUCUUAGUUCUGUUUGGCAUCUUGGGCCACCAUAUUCUUGUAUAACCACGUUUACAGAAAAAGUUGCGUGUGAAAGGUUGAGCCCUUAAAAAAAAAAAUAAAAGCUAGCACUCACUACAUACACACUUAGAAACUUACAACCGGCCUGUGACCAGAGGGCGCUUUCCUAACCCUAUUCCGUGACCACGCACACGGAUGUUUUACCUUUAUCCACAGCAGAUAGAGUGCUACAACUAUCUUGGUACAAGGCUGAGAGUGAAACCAAGACUGGAGAUGGCCUAGCAGGGAGGUGGAAGCAAGCUGGGUCCCCCCUAGUCCAUCCACCCAGAGCUGCCAUUCCCCAAUAGAAGAAAAAUAAAAGAAGAAUGAGGAAUGACUCGAGGGGGAGCGGCGUUGUGGCACAGCAGGUUAAGCUACCACCUGUGACACUGGCAUCUCAUAUGACUUCUGGUCUGAGUCCUGGCUGCUCCACUUCUAUCCCAGCUCCCUGCUAGUGCCCCUGGGAAAGCAGCAGAAGACGAUGUGAGGGCUUUGGCCCCUGAUACCCAUGUAAGAGACCCAGGUGGACUUGUAGCUUCCUGGCUUGGCCUGACCUGGCCUUGGCAGCUGUAGCCAUUUAGGGAGUGAGCCACCAGAUGGAAGAGCGCUUCCUCACUCCGCCUCUCCCUCUCUCUCUGUAACUCUGCCUUUCAAAUAAAUAACUGUUUAAAAGGAAUUUUGAAUAUAAAUUUUAAAUUAAACAUAACAAACCCAC
Oryctolagus cuniculus (rabbit) is the source of this 1043-nucleotide non-coding RNA. The record is from RefSeq and is a predicted model, not a curated record. NCBI's taxonomy places the organism in Eukaryota, Metazoa, Chordata, Mammalia, Lagomorpha, Leporidae.